RNAcentral lists this long non-coding RNA (19336 nucleotides) under Nicotiana benthamiana. RNAcentral's name for it is "long non-coding RNA (NBEN_LNC006070)". The record is from RNAcentral. Lineage: Eukaryota; Viridiplantae; Streptophyta; Magnoliopsida; Solanales; Solanaceae.
AGGGGUGUGCAUUCGGUUUAUCGAUUCGAUUUUUAUCCUUAUCGAUAAUUACUUAUCGGUUAUAGAUUUUUACAUAUGCUUAUCGUUAUCGUUUCAAUAAGGUUUUGAUUUUUUCGAUUUCGAUGUAUUGAUUUUUGGGGCUUAUCGAUUCGAUUAUCGAUAACACCAAUAAGCCAAUAGGCGGGCUGCACACAAGACCAUCCCACUAGCAUUACAAAAAGAUAGGCUUGAACAAAUUGUUGCUUGAGUUCAAAUUUUUCCUUAAAAUUAUUUUGUCUGCACUUGCAGGUUGAAAAUUCUACUUUUUUGAGUCGAUCAUUUCUUCUUUCUUCGGAGUGUUCAUGCUUGAAUAUAUUUAUUCAUAUAGCUACUGAGAAUUUGAUUCAAUCAAAUAAAAAAUUUCUAGCAGCAUCAUGGAAACAAAAAAGAAGCAGUAGCAAAGGCAGUCAUACCACGCAAGCUUGGUUUUCUGGAUUUGUACUAGCAUUUGCUUGGCCAAGCGAAGAGCUAUCUUGAAAGUCUUUCUCUCAAACUUCGUCAAUGGCAAAGAGCGGCGCUGGAACUGGAACUGGAAAUUGGAAAAUAAAAAUAGGGACUAGGGUUGGCUGAGUCAUAUAUCUUUUAUAUAUAUAUUGCGAAGCAGCCAGCGACCAGACCAGCGAAUUACUUAAUUGAUAGGGUAGUAAAUAGUAAUAGUAUUAUAAAAUAAGGGCAUAUUUAUCUUUUCAAUAUAUCUUAUCGAUUUAUCGAUAAACCGAUAAACCGAAUGGCCAAAAUCGAAAUCGAAUCGAUAAACCGAUAAGGAAAAUUUUCCGAAAUCGAAAUCGAAUCAAUAAACCGAUAAACCGAUAUCAAUAAACCGAUAACAAAUAAUCGAUUCGAUUUAUCGAUAAACCGAUUCGAAUGCACACCCCUAUUAUUGAAUACUUUGUCAGCAUAAAACAACAAAAAUAAUCCAAGGGCAAAACAUAGCAAAUCAUAAUAAAUCAUUGGGCCAAGCAAAAGAUAUGAAGAACAAACAUCGGAAAUUAGGGAGAAAUAUAUUAAGAGACUUUAUUGAUUGUAGUAAUUUGGUCUCCCUCUUCUUGGAGAGGUUCAUAGUCUUACAAUGACGUUCUCUUCUCCCAUAAUAUGAACAUUAGUGUAUAUCUCUUUCUUGUGAAUAGUGUUGAAGAAGAAGCCCCAUUUCUUAGGGUUCUCUCUCUUGAUAUUUAUAGUUGUGAGCUUCUUGAGCUGGCAAUAAGUGGUUGUGGCCAUGUAAAGGCUUCGCCUUUGUAACUGCGGAAGGAUCGUGUCCCUGUUGAUUAGAUCAGACGAGUGUCGAAUGCCAUUAGUUCAGAGUGGUCAUACUUCUCAUUAAUCGUGAAUUAAUUAGGAGGGAAUUAGUUUGGGUAAUCGUCCUGGGGUCGGAUUCUGACCCACACAAUUAAUCCCUCCAUUCGUCGGGGAAGAAGCUCGUCGGCCCUGGCGGACGGACUGUGCGUUGCGUGGUCAUGAGGAAUGAAGGCGUGCUUUCUAUGCAUUCGGCAGCGUAUACGAUUUUGAAGACGCACAGAACACCUUUUCGGCAUUCGCGUUGCGACGGGUGAGACGCCGGUCGGUAACUGAAAAGUUGCUUCGUGGAGCCUAUCAUAAUGACGCACGUUCUAUGGAACUAAACCGUUUUGUAGAAAGUGAUGUAUUUAAUGAUGGCUAUUGGGUUUCGUGAUGGCCAAUUUUGUUCUUCAUAAAUAGAGCGGGUUUGGCAUUUUUCACGAUACUUUCAUUGAUCACUUGAGAGAGAUUUUAGUGAAGCAUUUAUGCCUGCUAUUCCGUCUUCAUCUCUGUUCUUUGAUUACUGCAACGUUUGUUUGUUUUCAUCAAACCCUACUUCUCCUUUGCUCGUGAGUUAUCAAUGGCAGGAAAUUCUUUUCACAAAGAUCUUCCGGCUAAUCUUCCGGCGAUUGAAGAUCCAGUUCCGGCAUCUGGAAAUAUAUAACUGGUGGAAAGCGAUGAAGUCCCAUUGGUCGAUGAGGUCGUAUUUUUGCCCGGCGGUCUGGUGGUGGACUUCACAACUGAUGGUGGGGCGGAGCAGGUGGAUAAAGCUCCAUUAAUAGGAGGAGUAGAGAUAUCCCAAAUGCGAGAACAAUGGGGUAUUCCAAGCUAUAUCGAUAUUGCUCUUGCUAACAAGGAGGACAGGGUCCAGAUCGAUGGUAGAGGGUAUUGCGUAUUUUACGCCUACCCCUUCAAGGUGGGAUACACGCUCCCGUUUCCAAUGCCCGUGGUCGACUGUUUUCGUUAUUACGAGGUGUGCCCGACCUAGAUUUUUCCUACUCUCUAUAAAUUGCUCUCGAUGUUUAUUAAGUACGUGGAGCUAGCUGGUAGAGAGGUCACGCUGCAAUAUGUGCUCAGUCUCUACGCUCCCCAAAAAUUCUGUGGCUCCAUAAUACAUGCGUGCCCUCAUGGGUCGAGGGGCUUGGCCAUAAUUAGAUGACAAGAUCGAUCGUCGCCCCUUUAAGCAUUUCUUUUAUAUCAAGAUCGAGCAUCUAGUGGCGGACCCGACCGGGUUCCCAGAAGUUUGGAAUUUUGCACGUAAGUUCAUGAUAAUAAAAUACCCCCUUUUUAACUCUCUUUACUUCUAAUGUUCGUAAGAUUUGACUCAUGGCAUUGUUUUUGUAGGUGAAAAGUUGUCGCCGCCUCCGUUGGCUAGGAUACGAGAGUGGGUUAAGGUCGUUCUCCCCCAUACGGUGGGGAUUCGCACAUGGGCGUCUUUCUGGGAGAGGCAUGUUCGCCGGCCCUUGACAGGUGGAAUAUCGACUUCUUCUUCUCGUUCAUUUCAUUUUGAUUCCAGUUGUUGAAUUUGUUUGUUAUUAUGGCCAAGGAGAGCACGUCGCAUCAGGGCUCCCCAGUUGGCUUUUCGUCAGUCGGCUGCGAUUGCUCGGCUUGCUGCAACACUGAUGCCACACCUAGUAUCUAGGGCAGCAUUGAUUGAGUCAUCAACGGCCCCUUCUCCGACACGGAUGCUCCUCGAGAUGGAGGGUCUUUGGGGGUUGUUCGUCCUCGAGCGGAGUCACCAUCGAAUAGGGAGGGAUAUAAGCCAUUGCAGAAGUUGAGGGUGGUGUUUGCAGCAACACCUAUAAUGGUAAUUAAUUUGGACUCCCCUAGUGGAUGUAGAGAUAAGUGCGGUUGUGGUGCCCACCAUUGAGGGUGGGCGAACAGUGGGGGUUGCCCCGAUUAACUUAAUCCAGGAUGGUGCUGUUGUUUCGGUGACUCAGUUGGAGUUUUCAGUCGCUGAGGCAGGAGGUCAUUCCUCAGCGAUUGCUAUUGUCUAUUCAAGUGCUCCUUCAGCAGCCACGGCGGGUUAUUCCACAUCAUCAGCGGCGGAGAGGGGGAGGAAUGUGGUAGCAGACGAGUAUGAGUCCGAGUCCGAUCUGGACCCCGACGACGUCCAUAUGUUUCAAGAAGAUUUCACCAAUUCUUGGUACGUGUAGAGGGGAGAGAUUGCUUCAUCGAGGUCCCUAUGGAAUUGAAUUUGUUGCUCCAAGGGAUUAGCUUGGUGCCGCAGUUUGAACUGUUGUGCUCGAAGAUCGAGAAUGCGUCAUUGAGGGACGUCUCGGAUAUUAGGGUGAUGAACGAAGUGGCCGUGAUGGGCCUGAGGUUAUGCAAUACGACUUUGGUUCGUUUUUUCUGUGCCUUGGCUCAUUCUUUAUUUUAAUUAUUGUCUUCAUUUUGCAGACUUACUUGUUGCAGGGGUAGAGAAUCCGUCGAGCCAACAUCCGCUCGAGGAUAUUUUUGCAGGUGCUGGGGAAGUAUCGUUGCUACCGUGAUCGGUGCUGAGAGAUGCAUGAGCGUUUGAGGAAUGAUCCCCGCAACAAGGCUCUGGGCGAGGAUCUGGCGAGGCGGGACCAACAGUUGCAACAGGCAAUUGUCAGUAGAAGUUUUCUCGAGGAGCCAAUCCGUCAGAAGGAUGCGGAGCUCGAGGUGGGAAAGAGGUAUGCAUCUGAGUGUGAGUGCCUACAGAAUAAGUUGAGGGAGAUGGAGUUGGAGGCUGAGCAGAGCCGGAUCAAGGUGGCGUAGGCCAAGGCAGCAUGGAGUGGGAAAGUGACGACACUGGAAAGUGAAGUUGCGACUUCAAAACUUCUGGCGAAGGCUGCCUCGGCGAGGGUUGCAAGGUUGGAGGAGGCAAUCCAUGUGCACGAGUCUCAGCGGGAAUCAGAGAGGGCUACUACGGAUCUUAGAGAAGAUGGGCUCAAGGAGCGGAUUAGUGCUUUUUAGCAGGAUGCCGAAGUUAUUUCGGAUCGGAUUGCGGCCUUAGAAGAAGAGAAUCAGCGGCUACAGGACAAGGCUGCUACUUCCAACCAGGCUUGCAAACUUUGGGUUUAUGCUGUGGCUCAACAUGAUAUCUACAAGAAUUUAUAGGAUGUCGGUACCGUGACCGAAGCUACUUUCGAGGUGGUGCGUCAGAAGGCUUGUGAGGCCCGUGUCGACUAUGGUUUUGGUGUAGCGAUGUUAUAGGCUGAUGAUGGUGCAGAUGGUGGCUCGGAUGGUACCGAGUAAAAAAAAGAUUUGCUAUUGAUUUUCCUUUGUUCUGUUCACCAUUUGGCGUUCAGUUGUUUAUCAUUUUACUUUUAUUUUUUCUUGUAUUGACCGGCCUUGGACAGGUGUAUGCGGGGAUGACCCGCACUCAACUUUGUUGAUAAAUAAAAUCUAUUUUAUGUUGCUUGUCUUGUGUUUAUUUUGUACCUUCUUCUUUUUGCCUUUUAAGACAUUUCUUUUUUGUUGUCGCGUUGGGAGAGACUACUCGCUUUUGAGUUAGACUAGGGUUGGUGUAUCAGUCUUUGACUGAUAAUGGUUUUGCUUUUUGACACGGUAUGAACGAGUCUAAGUCAUUAUUUGGCGAUAGUGGCACUUAGCCUUAGUCCCAGUUCAGGCGUGUUCGAACUACCACAUGUGAUGGUAAAAAACGCGGCCUCGUAGUUUGACCAGGGCCAAACUUUAACUUGUAGGCAAUGGCAUGUGGCCCGAAUCUUAGUUCAAGUGAGAAGGACUUACUUGAAUGGAGAGGAUGCUUAGACUGUGCCUCAAUUCGUUGGAAGUUGGACUUGCUGAGCUUAAUGACGAGGGCGCAUGGCCUGAGUUCUAGUUUGACUUAGGUCGAACUUUGUUAAAUUUGAUGGCGAAGGCGCUUGGCCUUACAGUUCGAGCAAGGUCGAACUCGUUGAAUUUAAUAGCGAAGGUGUUUGGCCUGAGUCCUAGUUCAACUGAAGUUGAAUUGUUAAAUUUGAUGGAGAAGGCGCUUGGUCUUAUAUUUCGAGCGAGGUCGAUCUCGUUGAAUUUAAUAACGAAGGUGCUUGGCCUGAGUCCCAGUUCAACCAAAGUUGAAUCUGUUAACUUCGAUGGCGAAUGCGCUCGGUCUUAUAGUUCGAGCAAGGUCAAACUCGUUGAAUUUAAUGGCGAAGGAACUUGGCCUGAGUCCCAGUUCAACUGAAAUUGAACUUUUAAAUUUGAUGGCAAAGGCGCUUGGACUUAUAGUUCGAGCGAGGUCGAACUCGUUGAAUUUAAUGGCCAAGGCGCUUGGCCUAAGUCCUAGUUCAUCGAAGUUGAAUCUGUUAAAUUUGAUGGCGAAGGCGCUUUGCCUUACAGUCCUAGCGAGGUCGAAAUCGUUGAAUUUAAUGACAAAGGUGCUUAAGCUGAGUCUUAGUUCAACGGAAGUUGAACCUAUUAAAUUUGAUGGAGAAGGCGCUUGACCUUAUAGUUCGAGCGAGGUCGAACUCGUUGAAUUUAAUGGCGAAGGCACUUGGCCUGAGGCCUAGUUCAACCGAACUUGAAUUUGUUAAAUUUGAUGGCGAAGGCGCUUGGAAUUAAAAUUUGAACGAGGUCGAAAUCGUUGAAUUUAAUGGCGAAGGCACUUGGCCUGAGUCCCUGUUCAACUGAAGUUAAACUGUUAAAUUUGAUGGCGAAGGCACUUGGCCUUAUGUUCGAGUGAGGUCGAACUCGUUGAAUUUAAUGGCGAAGGCACUUGGCCUAAGUUCAACCAAAGUUGAAUCUGUUAAAUUUGAAGGAGAAAGCUCUUGGCCUUACAGUUCGAGCGAGGUCGAACUCGUUGAAUUUAAUGGAGAUGGCGCUUGGCCUGAGUGUUAGUUCAACUGAAGUUGAACCUGUUAAUUUUAUGGCGAAGGUGCUUCCCCUUAUAUUUCGAGCGAGGUCGAACUUGUUGAUGUCACGACUCCAAUCCCAGUCGUGAUGGCGCCCAACAAUAAAUGCUAAGCAAGCCCGACCAAUUAACACUCACAACUCAACCACACAACCCAUUUCCAAUUUAUAGCAUUAAAUUAUCAAGUAAUAUAUUUCUAACCAGUAAUAGUAGACAGAGGUAUUAAGAAAAUCAUAACAACUGCCAAUAAAACUCCUAAAGACCUGGGGUCAUCAGUCUAGAGCCUCUAGGAUAAUAAAAUAAUUAAUUUUCAGUAAUUUUGAUGUUCACAAAUGCGGAAAUAAUAAAGGGACAGGGGAGGAGUCGGGCCAUGCGGACAUCAAGCAGCUACCUCAAAAACUCCUAAGAAACUCUGAAACAACAAAUAGCACAACUAUGCUCCCGAGGUACCUGAAUCUGCACACAUGGUGCAGCGAGUAAAGUGAAUACUUCCAAUUGAGUGGUAAUAGAUAUGUAUAAUGACUGAAAGUAUGAAAUCCUGAAAAUACCACAAUAUAAAGCUGAAACUAACGACUUAGCACAUUUAACGGGUGAAACAACAGAAAAUCAGAUACAGGCAGACAAAUAGAUAUCAAUGCAUGAAUGCAAUGCAAUGCACAUGACCGAUGCGGAGUACAGCCCGAUCCAUUGGGUACCCACACUCACUAUGGGGGAUCAGACUACGGAGGUCUCCUAUAGCCCAAGUGCAACAUCAUCGUAGCAUUCGAUGUGACGUGCAACCCGAUCCACAAUCAGUCCAAUUAUAUGCAUGCAAGCCACACUGGCACAAUCAAAUUUACCAUUUUCCAUUCCAUUUAUCGGAUAUUAUAGCUUAAGUGUUUUAAAACCUUAUUAAUUUACUAAUCAUUUCGAGACAGUGUUUAACUCAGGACUGAUAUCAUGGAAACAUGCUCAAGAUUAUGGAAAUAGUGAUAAUAAUCCCUAAGGGAUCCAAAUAAUCAGCACGUAUCCCAAAUAUGCUCAUAACAAUCCAAGUAGGAUGUUUACAAUCAAUUUCUAGUCAAUAACACAGUUUGGAAAGCACUUGGACGGACUAAGCCAUAGUCCUCGUCAACAAGUGACCCGCACUCACCGUAGAGUACGUGUCUCGCCUCAAUACAGCGGCAUAGUGUGAUAUACUAGGGUUUCAAACCCUCGGGUCAUCAUCUGCAUCUAUUACUCACCUCAAGCCGGCCGAAGACUAGCUCUCAAUGCCCUUUCCUCUCGUGUCGGCCUCCUCACGCGUCGAAUCUAGCCAAAACCACAACGAAUACGUUACAAUAGGCUAAUAGGACACAGUCUAAUAAAAAAGACUCGAAAAACACCAAAAAUCACGAAGUUGGCAAAACCCGAGACCCGGGCCCACUUCUCAAAAAAUUACAAAAUUUACAUCAGCGGACUCCUCGUCUUGCCACGAGUCUAUGCAUAUCAGAUAUACCAAAAUCGGAGUUCAAUUGCUCCCUAAAAUCUCAAAUUCUCAUUUCAAAAGCCCAAAGCCUAGUUCUUCAAUUAUUCACCCAAAAUUCUUAGAAUUAAAGGUAGAUUCUUUGAUAAAAUAUCAUUUCUAGGUCAGAGACUUAUCCCCAAUUGAUUCCCGUCAAACUCUAUUAAAACUCGACCCAAAAAGCUCUUGAAAUGAUUCAAAAAUGGAGGAAAUAUGAAAUGGGUCGCGGAUGAAAUGUAACAUAAAACUCUCUAUCGCCCAACUUUUUCUUCUAUGCGAGCACGAGACUCCCUCGCGUUCACGAAGCAGAAGAAUUCCUCAGACAAAAUUAACCUUUCGCAAAUGCGGAACUCCACCCACGAACGCGAUCAUUGAACAGCUGAUACUAACCGAACGCGACCCCUUCAACGCGAAUGCGAAGCUCCACGAUCCCCUCUUACGCGAACGCAACUUCUAUGUCGCAAACACAUUGAACGACCUAGGCAGGUCCUCCAGGCCCUUCUACGCGAACGCGAAGAGACCACAGGGAAUGCGAUGACUCAGGACAUCUCCACUACGCAAACGCGAUCACCCCUCUGCGAACGCGAAGCACAAGAGUAGUCUACAACUAUUUCUAUUUUUCUGCAAUAAAUCCUAAGUCCAAACUUCCCGUUUAACCAUCCGAAACCACCCCUGAGGCCCCCAGGACCUCAACCAAAUACACCAAUAUAUCCCAAAACAUCAUACAAACCUAUUCCAAUCAUCAAAACGCGUCAAACAACACUAAAAUCAUCAAUUCCCCAUGGAUUCAAGCCUAAAUUUCUUCAAAACUUCUGAAACACACAUUCGAUCAAAAACUUAACCAAACGACGCCUAAAUGACCUAAAAUUUUGCACACAUAUCCAAAAUCACCUAACGGAGAUACUACAACUCUCGGAAUUCCAUUCCGAGCCUAAUUCUACACCGGACCUCCAAAUUCAAUUCCGAUUUCACUCCUAAGUCACAAAUCAUCCGCUGAAGCUAACCGAACCAUCGAAAUUCACAUCCGAACCCUCUAUCUAAAUAGUCAACUUCCAGUUGACUUUUCCCCAAACAAGCUUUCCUUUAAGAGACUAAGUGUCUCAUUUCCAUCUAAAACAAAUCCAAUUCUACCCGAUCGACUCAAAUAGUAAUAUUAAAAGAUAGAGCUGCAUAAUAUGGGGAAAACGAGGAGGUAGCUCACGUGAAGACGGGCCGGGUCAUCACAUCCUUCCCAACUAAAACAAACACUCGUCCUCGAGCGGGUCAAGAAACAUACCUGGAGUCUCAAAUAAGUGAGGCUAUCUGCUCCGCAUCUCCUGCUCGGUCUCCCAUGUGGCCUCCUCCACGGGCCGAAGUCUCCACUGCACCUUCACUGAAGCUAUGUCCUUAGAUCUCAACAUCCGAACCUGACAAUCCAAAAUAGCCACUGGCUCCACAUCAUAGGUCAAGUCCUCAUCCAACUGGAUCGUGUAAAAGUCUAACACAUGAGAUGGGUCCUCAACAUACUUCAAGAGCGUAGAAAUAUGGAACACCGGAUGAACUCCCGACAAGCUGGGUGGCAAAGCAAGCAUAUAGGCCACCUCCCCAAUCGUCCGAAGUAUCUCAAAAGCUCCAAUGAACUGUGGACUCAGCUUCCCUUUCUUUCCAAACCUCAUACCGGCCUUCAUAGGUGAAACCUUCAACAAGACCUUCUCGCCCACCAUAUAAAAUACAUCUCGAACCUUCCGGUCCGCAUAACACUUCUGACGCGACUGAGCUAUACAAAGUCUCUCCUGGAUCACUUUCACCUUCUCUAAGGCGUCCUGACCUAACUCUGUCCCCAAUAGUCUAGCCUCGCCGGGCUCAAACUAACCAAUCGGAGAUCUACUUCGUCUCCUAUACAAAGCGUCAUACGGCGCUAUCUGAAUUAAGGAUUGAUAGUUGUUGUUAUAAGCAAACUCUUCAAGUGGCAAGAACUCCGCCCAAUAACUUCCAAAAUCAAUAACACAGGCACGUAACAUGUCCUCCAAUAUCUGGAUACUAUCUCGAACUGUCCGUCCGUCAAAGGAUGAAAUGUUGUGCUCAACUGUAUUUGUGUGCCCAACUCCUGAUGAAAAGUCCUCCAGAACUGGGAAGUAAACUGAGUACCCCUAUCAGAGACAAUAGAAACUAGGACCCCAUGCAACCAUAAAAUCUCUCGGAUGAAAAUCUCCGCUAAUCGCUCCGAAUAAUAGGUAAUACACACCAGAAUGAGGUGCACGAACUUGGUUAGCCUAUCCACAAUCACCCAAAUCGAAUCAAAUUUCUUUGAGGUACGAGGGAGACCACUCACAAAAUCCAUAGUAAUACUCUCCCAUUUCCACUCUAGAAUCUCCAUCCGUCGAAGUACACCACCGAGCCUCUGAUGCUCAUAUUUGACAUGUUGACAGUUGGGACACUGAGCUAUGGAACUCACAAUAUCCUUUUUUAUUCUCCUCUACCAAUAAUGUUGUCUCAAAUCCUGGUACAUCUUGGCGGCACCCAGAUGAAUAGAAUACCGCGAGCCAUGGGCCUCGUCUAAUAUCAACUCUUGGAGCCCAUCCACAUUGGGCACGCAAAUCCGGCCCUGCAUCCUUCUAUUUGACCAGAUGUUGAAGACUGCGGUGAUCCGUGAACACCUCACAAGACACGCCAUAUAAAUAGUGCCUCAAAAUCUUCAAAGCAUGAACUAUAGCAGCCAACUCUAAGUCAUGAACAUGGUAGUUCUUCUCAUGAGGCUUCAGCUGACGAGAAGCAUAAGUAAUAACUCUACCCUUCUGCAUCAAUACACAACCGAUCCUAACUCUCGAAGCAUCACAAUACACCGUGUAAGAACCUGAAGCUGAUGGCAAUACUAGUACAAGAGUUGUGGUCAAAGCUGACUUGAGCUUAUGGAAGCUCUCCUCGCACUCAUCCAACCAAACAAAUGGAGCAUUCUUCUGCGUCAACUUCAUCAAAGGCGAAGCAAUAGAUAAAAAACCCUUAACGAACCUACGAAAAUAACCCGCCAAACCGAGGAAACUCCGAAUCUCAGUAGAUGAGGACGGUAUAGGCCAACUCUGCACCACCUCAAUCUUCUUUGGAUCAACUUGAAUACCAUCACAGGACACCACGUGUCCCAGAAAAGCCACAGAACUAAGCCAGAACUCACACUUGGAGAACUUUGCAUAGAGCUUCUCCUCUCUCAGUCUCUGCAAUACCACCCUCAAAUGUUGUGCAUCCUCCUUCUGACUACGCAAGUACACAUGAUAUCGUCAAUAAACACAAUCACAAAUGAAUCGAGAUAUAGCCUAAAUAUACUAUUCAUCAAGUGCAUUUAUGCGGAUGGGGCAUUAGUCAGCCCAAAUGACAUAACCAGAAACUCAGAGUGCCCAUAUCUCGUCUUGAAGGCCGUCUUUAUAAUGUAUGAAUACCUAAUCUUCAACUGGUGAUAGCCUGAACGGAGAUCAAUCGUAGAGAAUACCUUUGCCCCCUGAAUCUGGUCAAACAAAUCCUCGAUACAAGGUAGUGGAUACUUGUUCUUCACUGUCACCUUGUUCAACUAUCUGUAGUCAUUGCACAUUCUCAUUUUACCAUCCUUCUUCUUUACAAAUAAGACCGGUGCACCCCACGGUGACACACUCGGGCGAAUGAACCCCUUAUCUAGGAGUUCCUGAAGCUGCUCAUUUAACUCCUUUAGCUGUGUUGGUGCCAUGCGAUAGGGAGGAAUAGAGAGGGGCUGAGUUCCCGGCACCAGAUCAAUACCGAAGUUAAUGUCCCUGUCCGGCGGCAUGCCCGGUAGGUCCGCUGGAAAUACAUCAAGGAAAUCUAUCACAACUGAAACUGAAUCAAGACUAGAAAUCUCGGCUCCAACAUCUAUAACGAAUUCCAAGUACGAUAAACAACCCUUCCCAACCAUCCGCUAGGCCUUUAAGAAAGAAAUCACCCUGUCGGGCACAUAAUUAGUCAGACCUCGCCGCUCGAUCCUCGAAAUACUUGGAAUAGCCAACGUAACUGUCUUGGCAUGACAGUCCAAAAUAGCAUGGUACAGGGAUAGCCAACCCGUACCCAGAAUCACAUCAAAAUCUACCAUGCCCAACAAUAACAAGUCAACUCAUGUCUCCAGACCCCCAAUUGUCACUAGACACGAUUGAUAUACAUGAUCCUCAAUAAUAGUAUCACCCACCAGGGUAUAUACGUGCACAGGUAAGGCAAGACAACCAUGGGUCGUACCCAAAUAUGAGCAAAAUAUGAAGAUACAUAGGAAUAGGUAGAUCCGAGAUCAAAUAAGACAGAAGCAUCCAUGUGGCAGACUGGGAUAAGACUUGUGAUAACAACAUCUGAUGCAAUAGCGUCCCUCCUAUCUGGAAGAGCAUAGAAUCAAGCCUGACCACCGCCAGCCCGAUCUUCACCCCCUGGGGCGACCUCUGGUUACCUCGCCUCCACCCUUAGUUGACUGAGUGGGUGCUGAAGAAAUAGGAGCAGAAGAUAAGGGCUGAUCCCUCUGCUCUGUCUGACUACCACAGAGCCGAGGACACUGUCUCCUCAAAUGAAACACUGUCUCCUCAUAUGACCCAACUCACCACAUUCCUAGCAACGAGCUGGAGCUGCAUAAGGGGAUUGAAGGGAUCCCCUCGCUGCAGAUGAACCCUAGGCUGAAGAGGCAGGAGUAGUACUCUGAGCUGGAAGAGCACUAAGUGAAGAAUGGUCCUGCUAGUAACCCUGAUGACCACGGCCUGAAGAAGCCCCACUAGACUCUGUAUGACCUGACUGAGGAGGUCCGAAGGAACGACCUCUGCCGCACUGGAACUGGCUCCUAGACGGAGCACCACUGAAGCUACCUGCACCUCGAGGCCUCUUGGCCUCCCUCUCUUCACGCUCCCUGCGAUAUCUGUCUCAAUCUGACGAGCCAUAUCUACUACCUCUUCAAAAUAAGUGGCCACAACCCUCUCUCUAGUCAUCAAGAUGUGGAUGGGAUAGUUUAGGCCUUCCACGAACCUCCUAAUCCUCUUCCGAUCUAUCAGGAUCAACCAUGUAGCAUGCCGAGCUAGCUGUGUAAACCUCAACUCAUACUGGGUCACAGUCUUAUCCCCCUGAAUCAACCACUCAAACUGACAACGCAGCUCCACUCUGCGAGACUGCGGUACAUACUUCUCCAGAAAGAGAGUGGAGAACUACUUCCAAGUAAGGGCGCUGCUCCAACAGGCCUACGCCUCUCAAAUUCCUCCCACCUUGUAAAUGCAGGCCCUGAGAACUAGAAAGUAGUAAAAUCCACUCCACUCGACUCCAAUAUCUCUGCAGUGCGAAGCAUAUGCUGACACUUAUCUAGAAAUCCCUGGACAUCCUCCCCGUCAGUACCACUGAAUAUCGGAGGUUGGAGCCUACCGAACUUCUCCAGACGACGCUGCUUGUCAUAUGGCAUAGAUGGAACCACAAAGUUUGGAGCUAGUGCAACUGGGGAAGCUGGUGUUACUGGGUGAAUUGGUACAACUCGGGCAACUGGUGCAACUGGGGCUGCUCCCGGUGUCUGCAGUCCCUGAAAACCCUGCUCGAGUGUGCGAGCAGCGGGGGUAUGCUGACCACCCCUAUUCUGAUAAGUAGCUAGUGUAGUAGUUUCUAAGGCGUCCUGAGCCAUGCUAGUGCAGAUAGAUAAAAUUUGAGCUAAAGCCUCCUGGAGAACAGGAAUCACAAUGGGCACUAUCGGUGCCUAAAGAAGUGUUGCUAGAGCAUCUACAGUUGGAGGUUGGUCUUGAACUUGGGCAGCAGGUGCAUAUGCAGGUGCUGCGCUCGCUGGUCUACCUCAACCCAGAACCCGACCACAGCCUCUAGCGGGUGGAAAUGGUGGUCGUAAAUCACGUCCGGUAGCACGAGUUCCCGCUAUCUGCGAGAGAAUGUAAUACAGAAGUGUAGGUCUUAGAACAACAAAGCCGCACGACAAGAGUUUAAGAAUAUGAAGUGUUUCCUAAAGGUUCUGCAGCCUCUCGAGGAUAAAUACAGACGUCUCCGCACAGAUCCGCGAGACUCUACUAACUGGCUCAUGGCUCAUGACGCCUAGUAACCUAGGCUCUGAUACCAACUUGUCACGACCCCAAUCCCGAUCGUGAUGACGUCCAACAAUAAAUUCUAGGCAAACUCGACCAAUUAACAAUCACAACGCAACCACACAACCCAUUUCCAAUUUAUAGCAUUAAAUUAUCAAGUAAUAUAGUUCUAACCAGUAAUAAUAGACAAAGGUAUUAAGAAAAUCAUAACAAUUGCCAAUAACACUCCCAAAGACCUGGGGUCAUGAGUCUAGAGCCACUAAGAUAACGAAAUAAUAAAUCCUCAGUAAUUCUGAUGUUCACAAAUGCGGAAAUAAUAAAGGGAUAGGGGAGGAGUCGGGCCCUGUGCACAUCAGACAGCUACCUCGACAACUCAUGAGAAACUCUAAAACAGCAAAAAGCUCAACUAUGCUCCCGAGGUGCCUGAAUCUGCACACAUGGUGCAUGGAGUAAAAUGAGAACUUCCAACUCAGUGGUAAUAGACAUGUAUAAUGACUGAAAGUAUGAAAUCCCGAAAAUACCACAAUGUGAAGUUGAAACUAACAACUUAGCAUAUUUCACGGUGAAACAACAACAAAUCAGAGACAGGUAGACAUAUAGAUAUCAAUGCAUGAAUUCAAUGCAAUGCACACGACCGCUGAGGCGUGCAGCCCGAUCCAUUGGUUACCCACGCUCACUAUGGGGGUUCACAAUCCGAAGGUGCUCCUACAGCCCAAGCGCAAGAUCAUCGUAGCAUUCGCUGCGGCGUGCAGCCUGAUCCACAAUCACUCCAAUUGUAUGCAUGUAAGCCACACAGGCACAAUCAAAUUUACUAUUUUCAGUUCCAUUUAUCGGAUAGUAUAGCUUAACUGUUUUAAAACCUUAGAAGUUUACUAAUCAUUUCAAGAAAGUGUUUAACUUAGGAUUGAUACCAUGGAAACAUGCUCAACAUUAUGGAAAUAGUGAUAAUAAUCGCUACGGGAUCCAAAUAAUCGGCACGCAGUCCAAAUAUGCUCAUAACAAUCCAAGUAGGACGUUUACCAAUCAAAUUCUAGUCAUUAACACGGUUUGGACAUCACUCGGACGGACUAAGACAUAGUCUCGUCCAUAAAUGAUCCUGAACUCACCGUAGAGUACGUGUAUCGACUCAAUACAAGUGACGUACCGGGGUUUCAAACCCUCAGGUCAUCAUCUACAUCUAUUACUCACCUCAAGCUGACCGAAGACUAGCUCUCAAUUCCCUUUCCUCUCAUAUCUGCCUCCUUGCACUUCGAAUCUGGCCAAAACCACAACGAAUACGUUACAAUAGGCAAACCAGACACAACCCAAUCGAAAAUACUCGAAAAAUACCAAAAAUCACGAAGUUGGCAAAACCCGAGCCCCGGGAUCACUUCUCCAAAAAUUACAAAAUUUAUAUCACUGGACUCCUCGUCUCGCCACGAGUCUAUACAUAUCAAAUUUACCAAAGUCGGAGUUCAAUUGCUCCCUAAAAUCCCAAAUUUUCAUUUCAAAAACCCAAGCCCUAGUUCUUCAAUUUUUCACCCAAAUUUCUAAGAAUUAAAGGUAUAUUCUUUGAUAAAAUAGCGUUUCUAGGUCACGAGACUUGCCCCAAAUAGAAUCCCAUCAAACUCUCUUCAUACUCGACCCAAAAAGCUCUUGAAUGGUUCAAAAAUGGAGGAAAUAAGAAAUGGGUCGCGGAUGAAAUGUAACAUAAAACCCUCUGUCGCCCAGCUUUUUCUUCUAUGCGAAACGCGAGAUACCCUCACGUCCACCAAGCACAAGAAUUACUCAAACAAAAUUAACCCUUCGUGAAUGCGGUGCUACAUCCGCGAACAUGAUUCCUUGAACAGCUGAUACUAUGCGAACGUGACCCCUUCAGCGCGAACGCGAAGCUCUGCGAUCCCCUCUUACGCGAACACGACUUCUAUGUCGCGAACGUACUGAACGACCUAGGCAAGGCCCCUAGGCCCUUCUAAGCAAACUCGGAGAGACCACAGCGAAUGCGAUGACCCAGGACAUCACCACUGCGUGAACGCGAUUACCCCUCCACGAACACGAAGCACAAGAGUGGUCUGCAACUUCUGCUCUUUUUCUACAAUAAAUCCUAAGUCUAAACUUCCCAUUUAACCAUCUGAAACCACCCCGAGGCCCCCGGGACCUCAACCAAAUACACCAACAUAUCCAAAAACAUUAUACGAAAUUAUACCAAUCAUCAAAACGCAUCAAACAACACUAAAAUUAUCAAUUCCCCACGGAUUCAAACCUAAGUUCCUUCAAAACUUCCGAAACACACAUUCGACCAAAACCUCAACCAAACGACGUCCAGAUGACCUAAAAUUUGGUACAUAUAUCCAAAAUCACCUAACGGAUCUACUAAUACUCUCAGAAUUCCAUUCCGAUCCUUGAAUAAAAAUCUCACCUAUCAACCGGAAUUCGCCAAAAUUCAAACUUCACCGAUUCAAGCCUAAUUCUACACCGGACUUCCAAAUUAAAUUCUGAUUUCACUCCUAAGUCAGAAAUCAUCCGCCGAAGCUAAACGAACCAUCGAAAUUUACAUCCGAACCCUCUAGCAAAAUAGUCAACUUCCAGUUGACUUUUUCCAGACAAGCUUUCCUGUAGGAGACUAAGUAUCUCAUUUACAUCUAAAACCAAUCCAAUUCUACCCGAUCCACUCAAAUACUAAUAUUGAAACAUAGAGCUGCAUAAUAUGGGAAAAACAGGCAGUAACUCACAUGACGACGAGUCGGGUUGUAACAGUUGAAUUUAAUAGUGAAGCCGCUCGGCUUGAGUCCCAGUUCAACCGAAGUUGAAUCUGUUAAAUUUGAUGGUGAAGGCGCUUGGCCUUAUAGUUCGAGCGAGGUCAAACCCAUUGAAUUUAAUGGUGAAGGCUCUUGGCCUGAGUCCCAGUUCAACCGAAGUUGAAUCUGUUAAAUUUGAUGGCGAAGGUGCUUGGCCUUAUAGUUCGAGCGAGGUGGAACUCAUUGAAUUUAAUGGCGAAGAUGCUUGCCUGAGUCCCAGUUCAACCGAAGUUGAAUCGAGGUCGAACUCGUUGAAUUUAAUGGCGAAGGCGCUUGGCCUGAGUCCCAGUUCAACCGAAGUUGAAUCUGUUAAAUUUGAUGGUAAUAGGCUUGGCCAUAUAGUUCGAGCAAGGUCGAACAUUUUGAAUUUAAUGGCGAAGGCACUUGGCCUGAGUCCCGGUUCAACUGAAGCUGAACUUGUUGAAUUUGACUGGCUCAAUGCCAUGGGUACCGAGUGUCGAGGCUUGGGUUUGAUUCGACAUCUUGUGUAGCCUAUACGUUGUCUUCCUAAUCAGAGUACCCAGGUUGUCAUGAGGUGACUCCCGGUUGGGGGAUAUCUACGCUGGUUUCGGGCUGGAUCCUGUAUCAGGGAAGUGGAAGAUGUCUUACAUAGAUCCUCCAUUGGGAGAGGGCUUCUUCUUCAACGUUGUUCGAAAUCAGAAGGGCAAAGGAUUUGGGUUUUCAUUGUGGCCUUCGAAUUUCUUUUGUCCGAUAUGCCGCUUUGGCUUGUCUGAGCUUGAUUGUUUGAAGAACUAUGCGAUUUUGCUAGGAAUUCCCCACAUACGGUGCCAAAUUGCUUGAGCCCAAAUUUUUCAAAUACUUUGUGAGCAUAAAACAAUAAAAAUAACCCAAGGGCAAAUCAUAGCAAAUCCUAACAAAUCAUUGGACCAAGCAAAAGACAUGAAGAACAAGCCUCGAGAAUUAGGGGAAAAUAUAUUAAGUGACUUUAUUGAUUGUAGUUAUUUGAUCUGCCUUUCCUUGGAGAGGUUCAGAGUCUUACAAUGGUGUUCUCUUCUCCCAUAAUAUGAAUAUUAGUGUAUAUCUCUUUCUCGUGAAUAGUGUUGAAGAAGAUGCUCCCUUUCUUAGGGUUCUCUCUCUUGAUAUUUAUAGUUGUGAGCUUUGUGAGCUGGCAAUAAGUGGUCGUGACCAUGUAGAGGUAUCACCUUUGUAACUGCGGAAGGAUUGUGACCCUGUUGAUUAGAUCACAAGAGAGUCGAUUACCAUUAGUUUAGAGCGGUCAUACCACUUAUUAAUCAUGAAUUAAUUAGGACGGAAUUGGUUUCGUUAAUCGUCCUGGGGUCGAAAUACAACUUGGUUCCUCAACAUCUACAAUAAAGAAUCAUCCGAGAGAAACAAAAAAGUAUUUACUGACUAGUUAGGCACUUUAAAUUAUGAAUAAGAAUUACCUUCGUGAACUCUGAAGGAGUAGGAAUAAGAGUUCAUGAGAUUGCACAGUGGAAUUCAGGAAAAUGGGAUAAUUAGUGGAAAUGGGACUCCUAUUAUCAAGGCUUAGCGAUGGGAUUAACUUGAGGCAAAUUAUUAUUCUUAAUACAGUCCAAGAAGAUUGAAGUUCGCUAGUUACAAACAAAAAUUUUAGUCCUAGAGUUGAAGUUCGACAGAAAACAAAAACUUCAGCUCUAGAGCUGAAUUUUGAUAGUUAUAAAACAAAAACUUUAGCUCUACAGUAUUCGCCAGUUACAAAACAAAAACUUUAGCUCUAGAGCUGAAUUUCCGCAGUUACAAAAAUAAAAACUUCAGCUCUAGUGAUAAAGUUCGCCAGUUACAAAACAAAAACUUCACCUCUAGAGCUUUUACCAGUUACAAAACAAAAACUUCAGCACAUGUGGUUCAUCACACUUCCUACUUCAGCCCCGUAUGCUGAAAUUAUACGAAAAAAUGAAUGCGCUUGUAAUUUUUUUUACAAAGAGAUACAAGUUAAAACGUGACCCAAAAAGCGGGUAUAAAUACAAAUGCAUUCGAUAUCUUAAAUUUACUGGCUCGAGUAAUCUUGAUUUCUUCCAUAUCUAAUUUGAUGUCAACUACGGUUAUGUUUUCUUUGGUGCUUUUGGAAAUAAUUUUGGAGAUAAAUAUAUACUAAUUUGAUGUCAACUACGGUUGGCAGUCAGAAGUUUCUUUCAUAUUUUAGCAGUGUUUUUCAAUAUUUCUGGAUGUUAUAAGAUUCCUGGCUGUGGUAUGAAUAAAUAAACCUCAAUUAUACUAAUAAUAGCGUACUAAUUAAAUUUGAUUACAUAUCCAAGAAACUUUGUUUAUAUUGGCAUACUGAUUAUUGAUGUCACUAAAAUGAUUAUACGCGUCUAUAAAUUUAAUUACGUACAAGUUUCUAGCGUCAGCUCAAUUGCAAAAUAAAGUCAAAAUAACUCAAAAUAAAGAAAGAAGAAUUAACUCAUAUAGUAUUAUAUACAUAAUUUAUGUAUAUAAUUAUAUAUAAUUUAUAUAUUAUAUGUAUAUAAUACAUAAUAUAGAUGUAUAAUUAUAUAUAAACUAUGUAUAUGAUUAAAAAAAAAUAAUAAAUAUAACUAGCUAUUUGUGAAAUAAUCCCAUUCAAAUAUUGGAUGCUGGCAGGUAAUAUAUAUGCAUAUUUGGCCCAACAUUUUCAGCAGACUUCAAAGUAAUAAAAGGAAAACAUCGGACACUGGAAUAUUCUAGAGGGUUGAAAUGCUACAUCUUUUAUCACAAACAAGAAUGUGUAUUCAACAUGGUUGAUUUCGGGGCACAACUUGACUUUUAGUUCGGUGCCUUGGUUCGAUGCCAACACCAGUAUUUGUUUAAAUUUUUAUUCGAUAAUGGUGUCAUUGUCAAAGAGGAGUAUUUUUAUCAUAUAAUUAAUAGAUCAUGAGUUUGAGCCGUGAAAAUAAUAUCUUGCAAAAUUAUACGGUGAAACGGCGUAUAAUAGACUCUGAUGAAA